AGGCAGCAGCAAGGAAUUUUCCCCAAUGGGCGCACGCCUGAGGGAGCAACGCCGCGUGGAGGAUGACGGCCUUCGGGUUGUAAACUCCUUUUGGGGGGGAAGAGGUUGACGGUACCCCCCGAAUCAGCCCCGGCUAACUCCGUGCCAGCAGCCGCGGUAAGACGGAGGGGGCAAGCGUUGUCCGGAAUCACUGGGCGUAAAGCGCGUGUAGGCGGUCGCGUGCGUCGGUGCUGAAAGCGCCCGGCUUAACCGGGCGAGGCGUGCCGAUACGAUGCGACUGGAGGCAGGCAGAGGGCGGCGGAAUUCCGGGUGUAGCGGUGAAAUGCGUAGAGCUCCGGAGAACGCCGUGGGGCAGCCGGCCGCCUGGGCCUGACCUGACGCUGAGACGCGACAGCUGGGGGAGCAAACCGGAUUAGAUACCCGGGUAGUCCACGCGUAAACGCUGCCGGCUCGGUGACUGGCGCCUGUGAAGCGCCUGGGCGCCUUAGCUCACGCGGGAAGCCGGCCGCCUGGGGAGUACGAGCGCAAGCUUAAAACUCAAAGUAAUUGACGGGGGCCCGCACAAGCAGCGGAGCGUGUGGUUUAAUUCGACGCAACCCGCAGAACCUUACCCAGACUGGACAUGACGGUGCAGACGGCGGAAACGUCGUCGCCUGCGAGGGUCCGUCACAGGUGCUGCAUGGCUGUCGUCAGCUCGUGUCGUGAGAUGUUGGGUUAAGUCCCGCAACGAGCGCAACCCUGCGGUUAGUUACCCGUGUCUAACCGGACUGCCUUCGGGGAGGAAGGCGGGGAUGACGUCAAGUCCGCAUGGCCCUUACGUCUGGGGCGACACACACGCUACAAUGGCGCCGACAAUGCGUCGCUCCCGCGCAAGCGGUUGCUAAUCGCCAAACGGCGCCCCAGUGCAGCUCGGGGGCUGCAACUCGCCCCCGUGAAGGCGGAGUUGCUAGUAAC
RNAcentral lists this ribosomal RNA (954 nucleotides) under uncultured bacterium. RNAcentral describes it as "bacterial SSU rRNA". It matches the Rfam family "Bacterial small subunit ribosomal RNA", at positions 346 to 1342 of the family's 1533-position model. The record is from RNAcentral.